Long non-coding RNA from Fundulus heteroclitus (mummichog), 609 nucleotides. RefSeq lists it as uncharacterized. The transcript has 4 exons. NCBI's taxonomy places the organism in Eukaryota, Metazoa, Chordata, Actinopteri, Cyprinodontiformes, Fundulidae. The record is from RefSeq and is a predicted model, not a curated record.
AGAAGAAGCCCUACACAACGGCACAUGGUGGUGAAAAAGCAGUGCUCGCUAUUUCGCGGAGACCAGCUGUUCAACAGACUUCAUCUUCGCAGCAGAGGAAGGUCAGACCAAAAGUUGGGGAGUAACAAGAGGAGGGUGGAAACCCAGAUGAUGAUGAUCUUCUGGAAUGACUGGCUGAUGGAGGCGGAUGGCUGCUGCUCUUUCGCCAAAAUAAAAUACCAAAUGCUGCGCACCGUUUUGGGAAUUUUCAAAUGAUUGGCUUAGCAACCUGGAAGGAACACGGCCGGUGAGACUGGGACAAAUUUGAAUUUCUUGCAUGGACAACAUCCCACUGCUUGGCUUUUCUACCUCUCCGAUGAUUUAAUUCUUGCAUAGCGAGGACGGGUGAUCCUGCGGCUUCCUGUUCACCCUACAUACAACCUCUUUGUCGGAUACAUGGGAGUGUGGCAUCUUGCAGUCCCCUAUAUUUGGUUUAAUCUGAGUAUAUAGCUAUUGACAAGUUGAGCAGUAAAAGUUAGGAUUUAUACAGUUUUGGUGUUUUUCUUACCAGAUGCUGUAUCAUCAUUCCUGUGUUCAUAUCACUUUGAAAUGUUUUGUUGGUCAAUUUCA